Molecule: transfer RNA, 76 nt
Filed under: Patescibacteria group bacterium
Lineage: Bacteria
Also listed under: 1 other name
Description: tRNA-Thr
Rfam family: tRNA
About the family: Transfer RNA (tRNA) molecules are approximately 80 nucleotides in length.
Source: RNAcentral
GCCGACGUAGCUCAGUUGGUAGAGCAGCGGUUUCGUAAAUCGCGGGUCAGCGGUUCAAAUCCGCUCGUCGGCUCCA